RNAcentral lists this ribosomal RNA (514 nucleotides) under Micarea taitensis. RNAcentral's name for it is "SSU rRNA". Lineage: Eukaryota; Fungi; Ascomycota; Lecanoromycetes; Lecanorales; Micareaceae. The record is from RNAcentral.
UGAUAAUGACAUNGCUUACCUAAGUCUUGACCAAAUUACGUGCCAGCAGUCGCGGUAAUACGUAAAAGACUAGUGUUAUUCAUCUUUAAUUGGUUUAAAGGGUACCUAGACAGCGAAUAAAGCCAUUGUAGGGACUAAUUCGCUAGAGUUACUUAUGAGGGGGUAUUAAAGUACUGCAGGUGUAGAGAUGAAAUUUUGUUAUACCUUUUUUCGUAUGAGAAUAUAUGGCACAGGUAUAGGUGAAAGCAUCCCCUUAUGUGAUAACUGACGUUGAGGGACGAAGGCUUUGUGUCGCGAACAGGAUUAGAUACCCCAGUAGUCAAAGCAGAAAAUGAUGAAUGUCAUAGAUUAGAUAUACRAUUUAUUCUAUAAAUGAAAGUGUAAGCAUUCCACCUCAAGAGUAAUUUGGCAACAUUGGAACUGAAAUCAUUAGACCGUUUCUGAAACCAGUAGUGAAGUAUGUUGUUUAAUUUGAUGAUACGCAAAAAACCUUACCACAAUUUGAAUAUUUAUA